CCUACGGGAGGCAGCAGUGGGGGAUAUUGCACAAUGGGGGGAACCCUGAUGCAGCGACGCCGCGUGGGUGAAGGAGCGUUUCGGCGCGUAAACCUCUGUCAGCAGGGAAGAACGGUCACUGUGCUAAUCAGCAGUGAAUUGACGGUACCUGCAAAGGAAGCACCGGCUAACUCCGUGCCAGCAGCCGCGGUAAUACGGAGGGUGCGAGCGUUAAUCGGAAUUACUGGGCGUAAAGCGCUCGUAGGCGGUAUGUCAAGUCAAGGGUGAAAUCCCCGCGCUCAACGUGGGAACUGCCUUUGAAACUGGCAAACUGGAGUGUGUGAGAGGAUAGUGGAAUUCCAGGUGUAGGAGUGAAAUCCGUAGAUAUCUGGAGGAACAUCAGUGGCGAAGGCGACUAUCUGGCACAUAACUGACGCUGAGGAGCGAAAGCGUGGGUAGCAAACAGGAUUAGAUACCCGUGUAGUC
Molecule: ribosomal RNA, 465 nt
Filed under: uncultured bacterium
Lineage: Bacteria
Description: partial 16S ribosomal RNA
Rfam family: Bacterial small subunit ribosomal RNA
Source: RNAcentral